Non-coding RNA from Lactuca sativa (garden lettuce), 840 nucleotides. The record is from RefSeq and is a predicted model, not a curated record. Lineage: Eukaryota; Viridiplantae; Streptophyta; Magnoliopsida; Asterales; Asteraceae.
AUGGAGAUGCAAAACAAAGGGGAUUCAACAAACUCGUCUAAAGCAUUCUCUUGUUUUCUGAAGCAGGCUCCAUUUUAUGUGGUGUUUCCAGCUACUAUAAGCCUUGGGUGCUUGUAUUUGUCCAAGUCAUCCAACCUUCAGGACUUGCUGUUGGUUAAGCUGUCAAAAGAGAUGUAUGAUAAUUUUGUUUCUUCUUUUCGCCUUGUGUUUUUCUGGUUUCAUCAUGUACAGGUGAAAGUAUUGCAGCAUGAUCUCUUCACCAAUGAUGUUCUUUACACUGAAAUAUCAAUCAUUACUGGAGAUGGGUACAAAAGAUCUGGACUUUGGGCAGUUAAAUCAGUUAAUUGGAAGAAAGACAGGUGGCAUAUUGUAUUCCCUUUCACCUCAUCGAAAAGAGGGUUUGAAGCUCCUAUUAGUCAUAUUAUUGUUCGAGGCAAAUCCAUGUCAGCACGCACUAAAGAUCUUUUCAACCUUGUGAACUGUAUUCUCCAAGAUGUUCAGUUUGCAUAUCAUAAGCGCUUCAAGCAGUUUGUCUCCCAAAGUAAAGCUAGAAUGGAGAAUCGAUUACGGGGCAGUGGGCAUGGCGUUGCAGCUGCAAGAAUGGAUGUAAAGUUAAAUAGUGCAGGGUGGAUUAGUGAACAAAUGGGUGGUGUCAGUUACCUGGAAUAUUUGAAAGAUCUUGAAGAGAAAGUGGAACAGGACUGGAAUGGAAUUUCAUGUGUUCUUGUUAGGAGUAUAGUCAAGAUCAAUGGAGCUUCUUGUGUUAACAAAAAGAAUACAGUUGUAGCACUAGCAUCUUAUGAAAAUGGAGCUUCUUGUGUUAAUAGAAAGUGUUAUUAG